CAGUCGCCGCGGUAAUACGUAGGUGGCAAGCGUUGUCCGGAAUUAUUGGGCGUAAAGGGCUCGCAGGCGGUUUCUUAAGUCUGAUGUGAAAGCCCCCGGCUCAACCGGGGAGGGUCAUUGGAAACUGGGAAACUUGAGUGCAGAAGAGGAGAGUGGAAUUCCACGUGUAGCGGUGAAAUGCGUAGAGAUAUGGAGGAACACCAGUGGCGAAGGCGACUUUCUGGUCUGUAACUGACGCUGAGGAGCGAAAGCGUGGGGAGCGAACAGGAUUAGAUACCCGGGUAGUCCCUGUCUCUUAUAC
RNAcentral lists this ribosomal RNA (301 nucleotides) under uncultured bacterium. Its description in RNAcentral is "partial 16S ribosomal RNA". It matches the Rfam family "Bacterial small subunit ribosomal RNA", at positions 509 to 807 of the family's 1533-position model. The record is from RNAcentral.